RNAcentral lists this non-coding RNA (88 nucleotides) under unclassified sequences. RNAcentral's name for it is "DUF3800-VII RNA". It matches the Rfam family "DUF3800-VII RNA". The record is from Rfam by way of RNAcentral.
AAGAAGCUCCUGGAGAACGGUUGGUCAUCUGAUAAAGAUGGCAGCACCUGUAGGGGUGUGGGAAACUACCGCCGGGAGCUAUUUUUAU